Molecule: ribosomal RNA, 976 nt
Filed under: Psammophaga crystallifera
Lineage: Eukaryota; Foraminifera
Description: bacterial SSU rRNA
Rfam family: Eukaryotic small subunit ribosomal RNA
Source: RNAcentral
AAGGGCACCACAAGAACGCGUGGAGCAUGUGGCUUAAUUUGACUCAACGCGGGAAAUCUUACCGGGUCCGGACACACUGAGGAUUGACAGGUGUUUGUGGUUAACUCUCUUCUGAGUGUUUUCCACUAUAAAUAUGCUAGUCCUUUCAUGAUUGUGUGAUAGGUGGUGCAUGGCCGUUCUUAGUUCGUGGAGUGAUCUGUCUGCUUAAUUGCGUUUCACAAAGAACUUUCUAACUUUUACCUGUUGCGCGGCAUUGUGUCCUUUAAUUAGGUACCGAUGUCUGUGCACGGUAGAGAAAAAGUUCUGAAGGCAACGAACGUGACCGCAUCCUCUUGUUGCCUCUUUUGAUUUAUUCAACAUGAGCAUUCUAUCUAUCUAGAUAGGUGUUCUGCAUAGAGUGCGAACUAGAGGGACCGCUGACGACUUUUAAAACAGAGGAAGGUUGCGGCAAUAACAGGUCUGUGAUGCCCUUAGAUGUUCCGGGCUGCACACGUGCUACAAUGAUUAUUGCAGUGAGCAUAUAAUUUUAUAAGGUUCUGUGCUUGUGUUUGGUAGCUUUUGUUGCCAUACACAGUACGGCCAUUGACCGGCUUCGAAAGUAAGCCGGUAAUCAAUUCGAAGUAAUGAUUUCCUUUCGCACAUACUUAUAUCUCUUGCUUGCAGGCUUACCUAUCCACUUGUGGGUAUGGUCAUGUUCUGCCUUGAGAUAUGUGCUCCAUUAAUUCAUGGUGGGGACAGACCAUUGUUAAUUGUUGGUCUCGGUCUCAACUAGGAAUGCCUUGUACGGGUCUUUGGUUCAACAAACCACCCGGAAUAUGUCCCUGCCCUUUGUACACACCGCCCGUCGCUCUUACCGAUGGACUUCGCUGUGAGUUUGGGGGACUGGCUAUCUAUUUAUAGAAAGCUAUGGAAACCUAAACGAACAGUGCGGUCUAAAGGAAAGAGAAGUCGUAACAAGGCAUCGGUAGGUGAACCU